RNAcentral lists this ribosomal RNA (2324 nucleotides) under Staphylococcus aureus. RNAcentral describes it as "bacterial LSU rRNA". It matches the Rfam family "Bacterial large subunit ribosomal RNA", at positions 597 to 2925 of the family's 2925-position model. The record is from RNAcentral. Lineage: Bacteria; Bacillati; Bacillota; Bacilli; Caryophanales; Staphylococcaceae.
UGGCGUGCCUUUUGUAGAAUGAACCGGCGAGUUACGAUUUGAUGCAAGGUUAAGCAGUAAAUGUGGAGCCGUAGCGAAAGCGAGUCUGAAUAGGGCGUUUAGUAUUUGGUCGUAGACCCGAAACCAGGUGAUCUACCCUUGGUCAGGUUGAAGUUCAGGUAACACUGAAUGGAGGACCGAACCGACUUACGUUGAAAAGUGAGCGGAUGAACUGAGGGUAGCGGAGAAAUUCCAAUCGAACCUGGAGAUAGCUGGUUCUCUCCGAAAUAGCUUUAGGGCUAGCCUCAAGUGAUGAUUAUUGGAGGUAGAGCACUGUUUGGACGAGGGGCCCCUCUCGGGUUACCGAAUUCAGACAAACUCCGAAUGCCAAUUAAUUUAACUUGGGAGUCAGAACAUGGGUGAUAAGGUCCGUGUUCGAAAGGGAAACAGCCCAGACCACCAGCUAAGGUCCCAAAAUAUAUGUUAAGUGGAAAAGGAUGUGGCGUUGCCCAGACAACUAGGAUGUUGGCUUAGAAGCAGCCAUCAUUUAAAGAGUGCGUAAUAGCUCACUAGUCGAGUGACACUGCGCCGAAAAUGUACCGGGGCUAAACAUAUUACCGAAGCUGUGGAUUGUCCUUUGGACAAUGGUAGGAGAGCGUUCUAAGGGCGUUGAAGCAUGAUCGUAAGGACAUGUGGAGCGCUUAGAAGUGAGAAUGCCGGUGUGAGUAGCGAAAGACGGGUGAGAAUCCCGUCCACCGAUUGACUAAGGUUUCCAGAGGAAGGCUCGUCCGCUCUGGGUUAGUCGGGUCCUAAGCUGAGGCCGACAGGCGUAGGCGAUGGAUAACAGGUUGAUAUUCCUGUACCACCUAUAAUCGUUUUAAUCGAUGGGGGGACGCAGUAGGAUAGGCGAAGCGUGCGAUUGGAUUGCACGUCUAAGCAGUAAGGCUGAGUAUUAGGCAAAUCCGGUACUCGUUAAGGCUGAGCUGUGAUGGGGAGAAGACAUUGUGUCUUCGAGUCGUUGAUUUCACACUGCCGAGAAAAGCCUCUAGAUAGAAAAUAGGUGCCCGUACCGCAAACCGACACAGGUAGUCAAGAUGAGAAUUCUAAGGUGAGCGAGCGAACUCUCGUUAAGGAACUCGGCAAAAUGACCCCGUAACUUCGGGAGAAGGGGUGCUCUUUAGGGUUAACGCCCAGAAGAGCCGCAGUGAAUAGGCCCAAGCGACUGUUUAUCAAAAACACAGGUCUCUGCUAAACCGUAAGGUGAUGUAUAGGGGCUGACGCCUGCCCGGUGCUGGAAGGUUAAGAGGAGUGGUUAGCUUCUGCGAAGCUACGAAUCGAAGCCCCAGUAAACGGCGGCCGUAACUAUAACGGUCCUAAGGUAGCGAAAUUCCUUGUCGGGUAAGUUCCGACCCGCACGAAAGGCGUAACGAUUUGGGCACUGUCUCAACGAGAGACUCGGUGAAAUCAUAGUACCUGUGAAGAUGCAGGUUACCCGCGACAGGACGGAAAGACCCCGUGGAGCUUUACUGUAGCCUGAUAUUGAAAUUCGGCACAGCUUGUACAGGAUAGGUAGGAGCCUUUGAAACGUGAGCGCUAGCUUACGUGGAGGCGCUGGUGGGAUACUACCCUAGCUGUGUUGGCUUUCUAACCCGCACCACUUAUCGUGGUGGGAGACAGUGUCAGGCGGGCAGUUUGACUGGGGCGGUCGCCUCCUAAAAGGUAACGGAGGCGCUCAAAGGUUCCCUCAGAAUGGUUGGAAAUCAUUCAUAGAGUGUAAAGGCAUAAGGGAGCUUGACUGCGAGACCUACAAGUCGAGCAGGGUCGAAAGACGGACUUAGUGAUCCGGUGGUUCCGCAUGGAAGGGCCAUCGCUCAACGGAUAAAAGCUACCCCGGGGAUAACAGGCUUAUCUCCCCCAAGAGUUCACAUCGACGGGGAGGUUUGGCACCUCGAUGUCGGCUCAUCGCAUCCUGGGGCUGUAGUCGGUCCCAAGGGUUGGGCUGUUCGCCCAUUAAAGCGGUACGCGAGCUGGGUUCAGAACGUCGUGAGACAGUUCGGUCCCUAUCCGUCGUGGGCGUAGGAAAUUUGAGAGGAGCUGUCCUUAGUACGAGAGGACCGGGAUGGACAUACCUCUGGUGUACCAGUUGUCGUGCCAACGGCAUAGCUGGGUAGCUAUGUGUGGACGGGAUAAGUGCUGAAAGCAUCUAAGCAUGAAGCCCCCCUCAAGAUGAGAUUUCCCAACUUCGGUUAUAAGAUCCCUCAAAGAUGAUGAGGUUAAUAGGUUCGAGGUGGAAGCAUGGUGACAUGUGGAGCUGACGAAUACUAAUCGAUCGAAGACUUAAUCAA